CAGUACUGUUAUGCUCUACUACACAGGAAGUGCUUCAGGGGUGAAUGCCUUGCUCUAUGGAACCUCAACAGCCACCAUACAAAUCUAAUCUCAAUCAUUCACAGUGGGUUUCCUCUAAUAAAAUCCUUUCAAACAUCACUUCACGGUCUUCCUCUGUGCGGCCUCGCCAUGUUUUUGAUCUGAUCCCAUCUUCUUCCUUGACGUCAGUGUGGCUGCUUCCCUGCUGGCUGUUUAUUUUCAUACACGUUCCCGGAGAAAUGAGAGUUUAUACGACUCUGAUAUGGAACAAAUAAGAGGAGAGGAGCUCUGCAGGACAGGGGGUGGAGACAGAGAGGUCCAGAUAUCUCCUGUCAUCUGUUUUUUACCCAUAAACCCUCAAUAUCAGAGGGAAUGGCCCAAUAACUUUGUAUCUUAAUGCAGAAGAAGUUUGUUGUAGUUUGGUGCAGCCAAAAGGUUCACAGUGACCUGAUCCAUUUCUAAACUAACCAUACAAAGGGACCUGAGCAGUUUAAAGAUUUCUGACAGACUGGGGCAAGAAAGGAUUGACUCAACCUUCCUUAAAAUCCUUCAUGUUGGCUCAUAACAGCUCUCUUAAGCUUACUGUACUCUAUCUUGCACUGCUCCCCUGUGGUGCAAGUACAGUCAAAUUUAAAAAAAGGUGCAUAAAUGAUGCAUAUACAGUCAUUCUGAAAUUACCAAGCUGGAUGGGUGUGUGCAGGUUUUCUGUUUUUUUUCUAAUAAUGUCUCAACAUUACAUGAGAGACUUUUAGUAUCGGUUUAUGUAUUAGUUUACUAAUUCAGAAAAUGAAAUCAUAGGGGAGUUAACUUAGUUGUUGUAUCUGUUAUAUGUUAUAGCUGUGUAUCUUUCUUUUGAUGUCCCUGUAUUGUAUUUAUCUCUUCUCUAUUUCUUAUGCCCUUUGAUGCUGAUAUGUUACCAAUGGGUCUGCAAUAAGGCAUUGAAUAAGAAAAGCUGUACAUAUGUGAAUGUCUGACACACUGAACAAACUUUUCAGUAUUUAUCAGAGCAGCAUGCUUCCCUCACGGAGAGACACUCUAGGUACAAAGCUGUCAUAUAGAUUAUCCCGGUAAAUUGAAACGCAGAGAGAAUUGUGUGAAAUAUCUACACUGUUAUUUCUGUAUCCUGCCUGCUGCCAUGUGUAGGAUUUACAACCUGUGGCCUUGUGCUAACAACACAGCUGAGAAUAUCCUCAGUAAUGUAGACAUCACAUUCAACACGUAGCCCCUCUAUAAAAGGAACAAAGCUGCUUAUAAAAUCUGACAUCACUUCAUGUACAACCUCAUACACUGAGCAGACACAGCCCUGCAAAAGAAAUGUCACCGCUCCUGUCACGGCUGUAAAAUCACCCUAUUUGUACAUCUGAGGUCAUAAGAUGUGCAUGAGAUAAAUAUGACAGGAUCUGUCUGAGUUAACGAGGCCUCUUAUGACUGAGCGCAACUGAUCUGCAGUUCGCACACAUCAGAAUUUUAACAUGAGUCACGAGUGACUAAUUUCUUCAGCUAAAUAUUAGAUAUCUAAUUAGGCUGAGUCAUGCCUGGAGUGAGCAACAGGAUGAAGUUUUACCACGAAUUAAAACUACAAAUGAAGUAAAUGAAGAUGACGUAUUUGGUCAUAAAUUAAAUAAGGCAAUGACCAGAUGAUGGCCGCAGAUUAGAAGUCACCGUGAAAGUUGUUUCAGUUCAAUUUUGUCUUUCUACGAUUUUUUUCACAGAAGUCAUUUGGUCAGUUACGUAGCCAAUGCACAGAACCAUGGUUUGGACAAUGCUGAUCUCUACAUACAUAAAUUGAAGUUACCUUGAAAAGUUAUCAAAGUCUUCCAGCAUGGCAGCCUUGGGUGCAUCAGAGAUGGUUGAACCAAAGCCUCUUCAAAGAGAAGAUAAGAAAG
Xyrichtys novacula (pearly razorfish) is the source of this 1904-nucleotide non-coding RNA. NCBI's taxonomy places the organism in Eukaryota, Metazoa, Chordata, Actinopteri, Labriformes, Labridae. The record is from the annotation of a GenBank genome assembly.